GUGCCAGCCGCCGCGGUACUACGGAGGGUGCAAGCGUUGUCCGGAAUCACUGGGUGUAAAGGGUGUGCAGGCGGGGCAGCAAGUUGGAUGUGAAACCCCAUGGCUUAACCAUGGAGGUGCAUUCGAAACUGUUGCUCUUGAGUCCCGGAGAGGCUGUCGGAAUUCGUGGUGUAGCGGUGAAAUGCGUAGAUAUCACGAGGAACACCAGAGGCGAAAGCGGACAGCUGGACGGGUACUGACGCUCAGGCACGAAAGCGUGGGGAGCAAACAGGAUUAGAUACCCUAGUAGUCC
This 292-nucleotide ribosomal RNA is filed under the name uncultured bacterium. Its description in RNAcentral is "partial 16S ribosomal RNA". It matches the Rfam family "Bacterial small subunit ribosomal RNA", at positions 505 to 796 of the family's 1533-position model. The record is from RNAcentral.